This is a non-coding RNA of Pelobates cultripes (western spadefoot toad), 1123 nucleotides long. The record is from the annotation of a GenBank genome assembly. NCBI's taxonomy places the organism in Eukaryota, Metazoa, Chordata, Amphibia, Anura, Pelobatidae.
GGGGUACAGAAAAUAAAUGGGAGAAAAGGGGGAGGGGGUUAAAGCAGAUAAACGUAGAUGACACUUGCAACUCAUUAGCUUAAUUCACAGUUCAGCCAGGGUAUUUAUUUAUUUUUUUACAUGCUCACAAACAGCAAUAUACAAUCAUUACGCAGUGUUCUCUUUGCCCCAAUCAGUUCCCCAUGUUAACCCAGCAACUCCCCUAUUUCCUCCCUUGUGAGUCAGUGUCUCUCCGCUGCUGUGGGUCUAUGGUGGCAGACCUGCACAGUGCACAUAAAGUUCAGGUGCUCAGGUAACUCCCGAAUGCGUCUACCACAGUUGCUGUUAUUGAGGCCCUGGGAAUUGUGUCUUUGGUUGCAUUAGAGUGCCUCAGUGGGCAUAGCUGAGCUCCCCGGGUGUCACGUGGUGUGUGCAAGGGCAAAGAUCAAUGAGGGUUGCUGUCAAGGUAAGCGUCCUGUCAGAAGGUGUUGUCCCUUCCUCAUCUUGUGGGUAUUUGCUACAGUGUGGUUUGAGCUCCCUGAGGGGCUUGUGGGCGCUGUGUAACUGGUGUCGGCAACCUUCCCGUCUUGGGUAUCCAUUCUGGCUAGGCGACCCUCCACUUUUUUCACCAGAUCGUUGUGGGCCUCCUCGUGUUCCAUCAUCUUGCCCUCAAUCGAGGCUGUUCUAUCCCCCAGUUCUCGGAGGUCAGAGCACAGGCUUUUCUUUUUGCAAAAGACAAAAUGACUGUCAGUAUGAUUCUGACAUGUAUUAUUACUACGAGCCAUUUAUUGUCACAGACACCAACAGAUGAGACAUUUCCAAAUGAUACACAAUUUAGUCUCAGGACUGAAUGCUGCGAUGUUUAUGAUUCUAUUUGCACCUCAAGGCAGCAAUCCUUGUAGAGCCCAGUUGUAUAUAGUUUUCUAGACUUGAAGGAGUCGUUGCUCUGUUGCAAUGAGUUUCUGUUGCAUAAUAUUUAGGAAACGUUUGAUUCUAACACGUUUCACCACACCUAUGCUAUCUUGCACGGUCACCCAGGUCACGGUAAUUUUCAACUGCGAUUGUCGAGAAUCUAAAGGUAAAAUGUCUCAAAACAAUAUCUCAUCAGCCUUGGGACAUCUAUAAAUAGCAAAAAGUCACUAAC